GCUAUUUGCAAUUCCAUACACACGUUUGGCCCCCUCACCUGCACGUCUCCAAUGAUGUCCUCCAUGACCACAUCGUACUGAACCAGGAAGUCAGCCAUGAUGCCUGACCCAGAGAUGGACGACUGGUCUUGCAAUGUCGGGCAGUAGGAUCUCAGGUGUAAAGAGUUGCACUUAUAAGCACAAUCAUGCACUGCAAGCAUGAUCCAAUUGGUUAUGUGAAUUUAUUAUGUGAUAGAGGUGCCAUUUCAAAGCAGAGAGGGAAAAGAUGGAUUAGUUUGCACAUGAUGUAGAGGUA
Molecule: long non-coding RNA, 295 nt
Filed under: Homo sapiens (human)
Lineage: Eukaryota; Metazoa; Chordata; Mammalia; Primates; Hominidae
Description: HSALNT0282871
Source: RNAcentral